GUUUACUUCCUGGUUGCACCAUGAGAAGAGGAUGGCCGCAUCAAAGCUCCUAAACAAAAGUUUCACUUUGAGUCAACUUCUGGAUAUGUUAGAUCUAGGUGACCGCCCAGUCAAGGCAUGCAACAUUGCAGUUAUCCCUCAAAAUGAGAGAUGCUGUCCUCAGUGAUUGUGAUAGCAAUAGGUCAGAUAUGGUCUAUGAGGGGGAGACAGGCCAUUAGCCAGCCAGACUGUUGAAUGCAUAUGCUGAACCAAACCUAUGCAAACAGAUCAUGACAGGAACAACGUUAUCAGUGAUGAUGACCUACCCCCUCCAUUGUUGAUAAUGAAGAGCCAAGGGCCUCACCCGCCAGAGGGUCCAGUCAGAAGAGCCAAGGGCCUCUACCCGCCAUAGGGGCCAGCCAGAAGAGCCAAGGGUAAAGCUGCAGGUGGUCAAAAAUAAAGAUCAAGUGUUCAAACAAUCGAAGAGGCCUGGCACCUACGUGAUUUCAAAACACAUAGUAUACAGCCCAAAUAUGCAAAGGUUUGUCACGAAACCACUGAGCCACAGAAGGACAUCUCUAAUGGCUGCUACUGUUGAAGAUCAGGCAAGAUAUGACAAAGCUUCUCACUGGCCAAUCAACACAAUGCACCGGUUCCAGAGAUGUCGUCAUUGUGACAAACGCACUACCUAUGCAUGUGAGAAAUGCAAAGCGCCACUGCACAUUGAGUGAUUCAAGAUAUACCACGGACAGCAGAAAAGGAGAUAAGAGUGAAUGAAAAAGGACUGAAAAAGCCAAUACAAGAAAAAUAGAAAAGUCAAUAAAGGGUGAGGAGAAGCAGUACAACGGACUCUAGGAAGAAAAGUCAAAGAAAAAGUGAAAAAGACAAUCAAAAUUACUGGUCAAUUGAAGGUCAAUUGAUUCAAGACCCUGUAUGACAGUAGGUGUGACUGAUCACAGUUCAAAAGAGUGAUGAACAAAGUGAUGAACAAACUAAUAUAUAUACAGUAUAUAUAUAUAUAUAUACGUAUAUAUAUAUAUAAAUAUAUAUAUGUGUAUGUAUGCAUGUACUGUAUGUAUGUAUGAUGUGUGUAUAUAUAUAUAUUGUUUUAUUUUGUUCCGUGUAGGCCUCUACUUGAAUGCAUAUUCUACAGGCUACCUCUAUCCUAAAUGUUCAAUGUGAAUUAAUCACACGACUGCUAUACAGUUGUUAGUGAAUGUUGCACUGAAAUGUCAUAAUGACAAUGUUCCAAUAAAGUUACAAUAUUAAUGUUUCAAUACAUGUUGCACUAAAGCAACAAUGCAUGUUACAAUAAAGUAACAAUGUUGAAAUUUGUU
Oncorhynchus nerka (sockeye salmon) is the source of this 1316-nucleotide long non-coding RNA. RefSeq lists it as uncharacterized. The transcript has 2 exons. Lineage: Eukaryota; Metazoa; Chordata; Actinopteri; Salmoniformes; Salmonidae. The record is from RefSeq and is a predicted model, not a curated record.